RNAcentral lists this ribosomal RNA (320 nucleotides) under Methylobacterium sp. MA3.16. Its description in RNAcentral is "bacterial SSU rRNA". It matches the Rfam family "Bacterial small subunit ribosomal RNA", at positions 1008 to 1329 of the family's 1533-position model. Lineage: Bacteria; Pseudomonadati; Pseudomonadota; Alphaproteobacteria; Hyphomicrobiales; Methylobacteriaceae. The record is from RNAcentral.
CGGGGAUCCUCUUCGGAGGCGUGCACACAGGUGCUGCAUGGCUGUCGUCAGCUCGUGUCGUGAGAUGUUGGGUUAAGUCCCGCAACGAGCGCAACCCACGUCCUUAGUUGCCAUCAUUCAGUUGGGCACUCUAGGGAGACUGCCGGUGAUAAGCCGCGAGGAAGGUGUGGAUGACGUCAAGUCCUCAUGGCCCUUACGGGAUGGGCUACACACGUGCUACAAUGGCGGUGACAGUGGGACGCGAAACCGCGAGGUUGAGCAAAUCCCCAAAAGCCGUCUCAGUUCGGAUUGCACUCUGCAACUNGGGUGCAAAAAGGCGG